RNAcentral lists this long non-coding RNA (200 nucleotides) under Lathyrus oleraceus (garden pea). Its description in RNAcentral is "Pisum sativum (pea) long non-coding RNA (PSAT_LNC010403)". Lineage: Eukaryota; Viridiplantae; Streptophyta; Magnoliopsida; Fabales; Fabaceae. The record is from RNAcentral.
UUUACCGGAUAUUGGGAAAAAGUAAAAUACUCACAAACUGAAAGGAAUAUUAGCAUUUACUAGGUAACAGACUUUCGGGGAACCAAAGUAUCUAUCUAGGCAAGAUCUCGAAAGAAAAGGUCAAUCAUGGACUCAACCCAAUGAGGAUAUAACUCAGGGGCGGGUGGUUCCAUCCAGAUAAUCAACUACAGGGGAAAAAG